UGAAUACGAGAUGCUACGGCGUCGAAGCAGGCUAUGUCAUACUUCCAAGAAAAGCUCGCACUGUCAUAAACAAAUAAUGCCUGUACCAUAACCGACACAGGUGGGUAGGUAGAGUAUACUAAGGGGCGCGAGAUAACUCUCUCUAAGGAACUCGGCAAAAUGACUCCGUAACUUCGGGAGAAGGAGUGCCUUAUUUAUAAGGUUGCAAUAACAAGAUCCAAGCAACUGUUUAUCAAAACACAGGUCUCCGCUAAGUCGUAAGACGAUGUAUGGGGGCUGACGCCUGCCCAGUGCCAGAAGGUUAAAGAAGUUGGUUAGCAUUCGCGAAGCUGAUAACUGAAGCCCUGGUGAACGGCGGCCGUAACUAUAACGGUCCUAAGGUAGCGAAAUUCCUUGUCGGGUAAGUUCCGACCCGCACGAAAGGCGUAAUGAUUUGGAUACUGUCUCGGAGAGGGGCUCGGUGAAAUAGACUUGUCUGUGAAGAUGCGGACUACCUGCACCAGGACAGAAAGACCCUAUGAAGCUUUACUGUAACUUGAGAUUGAAAUUGGACUUUACUUGCGCAGUAUAGGUGGGAGGCGUUGAUAAUAUUCUUGCGGGAUUAUUUGAGCCAUCAGUGAGAUACCACUCUUGUAAUGUUAGAUUUCUAACUUUGUAUCAUUAUCUGGUCAAAGGACAGUUUCAGGCGGGCAGUUUGACUGGGGCGGUCGCCUCCUAAACGGUAACGGAGGCGCACAAAGGUUUCCUCUGAACGGGUAGAAAUCGUAUCUAGAGUGUAAAGGCAUAAGGAAGCUUGACUGUGAGACCUACAAGUCGAGCAGGGACGAAAGUCGGUCUUAGUGAUCUGACGGUGCUGAGUGGAAAGGCCGUCACUCAACGGAUAAAAGUUACUCUAAGGAUAACAGGCUGAUCUCCCCCAAGAGUUCACAUCGACGGGGAGGUUUGGCACCUCGAUGUCGGCUCAUCGCAUCCUGGGGCGGUAGUACGUCCCAAGGGUUGGGCUGUUCGCCCAUGAAAGCGGUACGCGAGCUGGGUUCAGAACGUCGUGAGACAGUUCGGUCCAUAUCCGGUGUAGGCGUUAGAAUAUUGAGAGGAGCCUUCUUUAGUACGAGAGGACCGAGAAGGACAUACCUCUGGUGUACCAGUUAUCGUGCCAACGGUAAACGCUGGGUAGCUAUGUAUGGAGUGGAUAACCGCUGAAAGCAUCUAAGUGGGAAGCCCACCUCAAGAUAAGUAUUCU
This 1240-nucleotide ribosomal RNA is filed under the name metagenome. Its description in RNAcentral is "bacterial LSU rRNA". It matches the Rfam family "Bacterial large subunit ribosomal RNA", at positions 1564 to 2814 of the family's 2925-position model. The record is from RNAcentral.